RNAcentral lists this ribosomal RNA (493 nucleotides) under uncultured bacterium. Its description in RNAcentral is "partial 16S ribosomal RNA". It matches the Rfam family "Bacterial small subunit ribosomal RNA", at positions 29 to 507 of the family's 1533-position model. The record is from RNAcentral.
ACGAACGCUGGCGGCGUGCUUAACACAUGCAAGUCGAACGGUGAAGCGCCUUCCUUUUUGGUGGGUGUGGAUGAGUGGCGAACGGGUGAGUAACACGUGAGUAACCUGCCCCCUUCUUCUGGAUAACCGCAUGAAAGUGUGGCUAAUACGGGAUAUUCUGGGUCUGUCGCAUGAUGGGUCUGGGAAAGAUAUUGUUUCGGUGGGGGAUGGGCUCGCGGCCUAUCAGCUUGUUGGUGGGGUGAUGGCCUACCAAGGCGGUGACGGGUAGCCGGCCUGAGAGGGUGGACGGUCACACUGGGACUGAGACACGGCCCAGACUCCUACGGGAGGCAGCAGUGGGGAAUAUUGCACAAUGGGCGCAAGCCUGAUGCAGCGACGCCGCGUGAGGGAUGGAGGCCUUCGGGUUGUGAACCUCUUUCGCCAGUGAACCAGGCCUGCCUCGUUUGUGGGUGGGUUGACGGUAGCUGGAUAAGAAGCGCCGGCUAACUACGUG